ACAUGCCUAUAACAUAGCGUUAAUGAAAUGGAUCCCAUUAGAACUCCACAAUUAAGUGCGUUCAAGCAAGAGUAGCACUGGGAUGGGUGACCACCCAGGAAGUCUUAGUGUUUCACAUGCC
Molecule: non-coding RNA, 121 nt
Organism: Picea glauca (white spruce)
Lineage: Eukaryota; Viridiplantae; Streptophyta; Pinopsida; Pinales; Pinaceae
Source: Rfam